This 440-nucleotide ribosomal RNA is filed under the name uncultured bacterium. RNAcentral's name for it is "partial 16S ribosomal RNA". It matches the Rfam family "Bacterial small subunit ribosomal RNA", at positions 338 to 795 of the family's 1533-position model. The record is from RNAcentral.
CCUACGGGAGGCAGCAGUGGGGAAUAUUGCACAAUGGGGGAAACCCUGAUGCAGCGACGCCGCGUGAGUGAAGAAGUAUUUCGGUAUGUAAAGCUCUAUCAGCAGGGAAGCAAAUGACGGUUCCCGAUUAAGCAGCGCCGGCUAACUACGUGCCAGCAGCCGCGGUAAUACGUAGGGCGCAAGCGUUAACCGGAUUUACUGGGUGGAAAGGGAGCGUAGGCGGCAGCACAAGUCUGGAGUGAAAUGCCGGGGGUUAACCCCGGAACUGCUUUGGAAACUGUGCAGCUAGAGUGCAGGAGAGGUAAGUGGAAUGCGUGGUGUAGCGGUGAAAUGCAUAGAUAUUAGGCGGAACACCAGUGGCGAAGGCGGCUUACUGGACUGUAACUGACGUUGAGGCUCGAAAGCGUGGGGAGCGAACAGGAUUAGAUACCCUUGUAGUC